Molecule: long non-coding RNA, 257 nt
Organism: Labeo rohita (rohu)
Lineage: Eukaryota; Metazoa; Chordata; Actinopteri; Cypriniformes; Cyprinidae
Exons: 3
Source: RefSeq, a predicted model, not a curated record
GCAGGAUGGACCUGUGCAGCUGUAUUUGUGCAAGUGCUGUGGAUGAUCGCAAUGUGCAUUGAUGAGACUGAAGAUCUGGAUCUGACCUUUAAAAAGAUGUUGUAUGUGUUUGGAUCAGUCGGUGUUGUUUUACUGAACUCUGUUACACUGAUGACUGAACUGAUACUGAAAGCAGUCAACAGUGAGCGUACAGUGGGGGAUCUGAGAGUUGUCGUCUUCUCCUCUGAAAGUCUCCUUGUCUUUUCUCUGCUGAUUUU